GUAGUCAUAUGCUUGUCUCAAAGAUUAAGCCAUGCAUGUCUAAGUAUAAAUAAAUUUAUAUUGUGAAACUGCGAAUGGCUCAUUAAAUCAGUUAUGAUCUACGUGACAUAUUCUUUACUACUUGGAUAACCGUGGUAAUUCUAGAGCUAAUACAUGCAAAAAAGCCCUGACUUCGGAAGGGGUGCACUUAUUAGAUAAAGCCAACGCUGGGUAAAACCAGUUUCCCUUGGUGAUUCAUAAUAAUUAAGCGGAUCGCAUGGCCUUGUGCUGGCGACGGUCCACUCGAUUUUCUGCCCUAUCAUGGUUGAGAUUGUAAGAUAGAGGCUUACAAUGCCUACAACGGGUAACGGGGAAU
This 355-nucleotide ribosomal RNA is filed under the name uncultured fungus. RNAcentral describes it as "SSU rRNA". It matches the Rfam family "Eukaryotic small subunit ribosomal RNA", at positions 20 to 370 of the family's 1831-position model. The record is from RNAcentral. Lineage: Eukaryota; Fungi.